RNAcentral lists this microRNA precursor (58 nucleotides) under Limulus polyphemus (Atlantic horseshoe crab). Its description in RNAcentral is "Lpo-Mir-210-P11_pre stem-loop". The record is from RNAcentral. Lineage: Eukaryota; Metazoa; Arthropoda; Merostomata; Xiphosura; Limulidae.
AGUCGCUGAGCAUAGCACGAGAUGAUAAUCAAAGUCUUGUGCGUGUGACAGCGGCUAU